UACGAAGGUGGCAAGCGUUGUUCGGAAUCACUGGGCGUAAAGGGCGCGUAGGCGGCGUUUUAAGUCGGGGGUGAAAGCCUGUGGCUCAACCACAGAAUGGCCUUCGAUACUGGGACGCUUGAGUAUGGUAGAGGUUGGUGGAACUGCGAGUGUAGAGGUGAAAUUCGUAGAUAUUCGCAAGAACACCGGUGGCGAAGGCGGCCAACUGGACCAUUACUGACGCUGAGGCGCGAAAGCGUGGGGAGCAAACAGG
Molecule: ribosomal RNA, 253 nt
Filed under: uncultured bacterium
Lineage: Bacteria
Description: partial 16S ribosomal RNA
Rfam family: Bacterial small subunit ribosomal RNA
Source: RNAcentral